Molecule: non-coding RNA, 311 nt
Organism: Pelobates cultripes (western spadefoot toad)
Lineage: Eukaryota; Metazoa; Chordata; Amphibia; Anura; Pelobatidae
Source: the annotation of a GenBank genome assembly
CAAAAAGCAAAUCAAGCUAAUAUAAACACAACUUUUACUCAACCCUCACCACCCUUUUUCUUUUCUUCUGUACCCUAACUGCAAUAAAACUUGUCAAAGUUAAAAAAUAACACCAGGGACCUGCAAGCCCAAAUGCUAAUUGAUCGCAUUAUCUAAAACCAAUUUUCACAAUUUCUAAAAACAAUUAUCACCCAUGUUGUACAAGUAGUAACUAAUACGACAAGGGACCUGCGAGUCCAUCCACAAUCUGGGCUUGAUAUGAUUCGCACUAUCUAAAACACAUCUUCACAUUUUCUAUGAUUGAUAUUCGC